RNAcentral lists this ribosomal RNA (475 nucleotides) under uncultured bacterium. RNAcentral describes it as "partial 16S ribosomal RNA". It matches the Rfam family "Bacterial small subunit ribosomal RNA", at positions 28 to 523 of the family's 1533-position model. The record is from RNAcentral.
GACGAACGCUGGCGGCGUGCUUAACACAUGCAAGUCGAACGGUAAGGCCCUUUGGGGUACACGAGUGGCGAACGGGUGAGUAACACGUGGGUGAUCUGCCCUGCACUUCGGGAUAAGCCUGGGAAACUGGGUCUAAUACCGGAUAGGACCACUGCCUGCAUGGGUGGUGGAAAGCUUUUGCGGUGUGGGAUGGGCCCGCGGCCUAUCAGCUUGUUGGUGGGGUGAUGGCCUACCAAGGCGACGACGGGUAGCCGGCCUGAGAGGGUGACCGGCUAGCCUGGGACUGAGAUACGGCCCAGACUCCUACGGGAGGCAGCAGUGGGGAAUAUUGCACAAUGGGCGCAAGCCUGAUGCAGCGACGCCGCGUGAGGGAUGACGGCCUUCGGGUUGUAAACCUCUUUCAGCACCGACGAAGCGCAAGUGACGGUAGGUGCAGAAGAAGGACCGGCCAACUACGUGCCAGCAGCCGCGGUAA